AGUGCCCUCCUUCUAGACAGAACAGGGGGAAAGGGUGGACUUCACUUAGACAUCAUGUCAGGUUGGAACUCUUGAGGGUGACUUAAGCACUAUCAUCAGUGACAAAUGUACUAAGCCGGCAACUAAGUAGAAUAAAACCCAACUCCACGAUUUCUACAGCAGUAGGAUAUCAUAAGAUUGUUUUUGAUCCUAAAAAGUGUGGACAGUAAUGAUCCUAAUCCUUUUCUCAGAAUUGAGAAAGUGACUGACCACCUGGAAGCCCUCAUUGAUCCGUUUGACCUGGACGUUUUCACGCCACACCUCAACAGCAACCUUCAUCGCCUGGUGCAGCGAACUUCUGUUCUGUUUGGAUUGGUGACUGGUACAGAGAAUCAGCUCGCCCCCCGGAGCAGUACGUUCAACUCCCAAGAACCCCAUAACAUCCUGCCACUGGCAUCCAGUCAGAUCAGGUAAAGGCUGCCAAGAGGCUUCUGCCAGGCACUUUGCGAGGCCGAGGCAGGCGGAUCACGAGGUCAGGAGAUCGAGACCAUCCUGGCUAACACGGUGAAACCCUGUCUCUACUAAAAAAAUACAAAAAAUUCCUAUAGUCCCAGCUACUCAGGAGGCUGAGGCAGGAGAAUGGCAUGAACUCGGGAGGCAGAGCUUGCAGUGAGCCGAGACUGCGCCACUGCACUCCAGCCUGGGCGACAGAACGAGACUCCGU
RNAcentral lists this small RNA (703 nucleotides) under Pongo abelii (Sumatran orangutan). RNAcentral describes it as "retained intron". Lineage: Eukaryota; Metazoa; Chordata; Mammalia; Primates; Hominidae. The record is from RNAcentral.